This 576-nucleotide ribosomal RNA is filed under the name uncultured bacterium. RNAcentral's name for it is "partial 16S ribosomal RNA". It matches the Rfam family "Bacterial small subunit ribosomal RNA", at positions 355 to 920 of the family's 1533-position model. The record is from RNAcentral.
UGGGGAAUAUUGCACAAUGGGCGCAAGCCUGAUGCAGCCAUGCCGCGUGUGUGAAGAAGGCCUUCGGGUUGUAAAGCACUUUCAGCGAGGAGGAAGGUGGUGAACUUAAUACGUUCAUCAAUUGACGUUACUCGCAGAAGAAGCACCGGCUAACUCCGUGCCAGCAGCCGCGGUAAUACGGAGGGUGCAAGCGUUAAUCGGAAUUACUGGGCGUAAAGCGCACGCAGGCGGUUUGUUAAGUCAGAUGUGAAAUCCCCGGGCUCAACCUGGGAACUGCAUUUGAAACUGGCAAGCUAGAGUCUCGUAGAGGGGGGUAGAAUUCCAGGUGUAGCGGUGAAAUGCGUAGAGAUCUGGAGGAAUACCGGUGGCGAAGGCGGCCCCCUGGACGAAGACUGACGCUCAGGUGCGAAAGCGUGGGGAGCAAACAGGAUUAGAUACCCCUGGUAGUCCACGCUGUAAAACGAUGUCGAUUUUGGAGGUUGUGCCCUUGAGGCGUGGCUUCCGGAGCUAACGCGUUAAAUCGACCGCCUGGGGAGUACGGCCGCAAGGUUAAAACUCAAAUGAAUUGACGGGGUC